Molecule: transfer RNA, 72 nt
Filed under: Marmota monax (woodchuck)
Lineage: Eukaryota; Metazoa; Chordata; Mammalia; Rodentia; Sciuridae
Description: tRNA.Ala
Source: RNAcentral
GCUGGGCUGGGCUCAGGGGCAGAGCGCUCGCCUGGCGUGUGUGAGGCCCUGGGUUCGAUCCUCAGCACCGCA